Molecule: ribosomal RNA, 465 nt
Filed under: uncultured bacterium
Lineage: Bacteria
Description: SSU rRNA
Rfam family: Bacterial small subunit ribosomal RNA
Source: RNAcentral
AGGACGAACGCUAGCGGCGUGCCUAAUGUAUGCAAGUCGAGCGAGGCCUUCGGGCCGAGCGGCGAACGGUUGAGUAACACGUCGGCAACCUGCCCCGCAGUGGGGGAUAACUCAUCGAAAGGUGGGCUAAUACCGCAUGUAGCCCCGGUUCGCAUGAACCGGUGGCGAAAGCAGCAAUGUGCUGCGGGAGGGGCCGGCGGCCUAUCAGCUUGUUGGUGGGGUAACGGCCUACCAAGGCUUCGACGGGUAGCUGGUCUGAGAGGAUGGUCAGCCAGACAGGGACUGAGACACGGCCCUGACUCCUUUGGGGGGCAGCAAUGAGGGAUAUUGCGCAAUGGGGGAAACCCUGACGCAGCGACGCCGCGUGGGUGAUGAAGUCCUUCGGGAUGUAAAGCCCUUUUGCCGGGGACGAGAAUGGACGGUACCCGGCGAAUAAGCCCCGGCUAACUACGUGCCAGCAGCCGC